Molecule: non-coding RNA, 30 nt
Filed under: Rattus norvegicus (Norway rat)
Lineage: Eukaryota; Metazoa; Chordata; Mammalia; Rodentia; Muridae
Source: RNAcentral
UCGGUUUGUGGCCAUCUGACUUCUCUCCGA